CGGGGGACGCGGAAGAAAGAAAGGUGUGCAAGGCGAUAAAAACGUGUUAUAACAAUGAAAGUUGGCAAGGAACGCGACGAACACAAAGAAGAACAGAGGGGGGGAAAAAAACCCUGGAAAAAUAAGAGAAAAGUAGGAUGAUGAGGAGUGAAGGUGGAGGGAGGGAGGGGAAUGGGUGUGGGGAGGAGAGGUAAGGAGAGGAAGAAAAGCAUAAUUAUGAUGUCGAGGAAGGAGGAGGAGGAGGGAGUGGUGGAGGGUGAGAUGCAAGGAGGAGGAGAAAGGAAGUAAAAGUGAUAAAGAUGAUAAUUUAAAAACAGGAUGGCGAGGGUGGGACGAGUGUCAGGCGAGGUGUGAAAGAUAGAAAAUAAGCAGGAAAGAAAGUAAGCAAGUAUAUGAUGAUGGAGAUGAGGAGGGGGCGGCGGAUGAGGUGUGAGAACAGGAAAAGAAGAAAAGGAAAGUAAGAAAGUAGAUAAAGAAAAUGAAAAAGGGACGAUGCAAGAGGUGGAAGAACAAGAAAAGAAGAAAAGGAAAGUAAGAAAGUAGAUAAAGAAAAUGAAAAAGGGACGAUGGAAGAGGUGGAAGAACAAGAAAAGAAGAAAAGGAAAGUAAGAAAGUAGAUAAAGAAAAUGAAAAAGGGACGAUGGAAGAGGUGGAAGAACAAGAAAAGAAGAAAAGGAAAGUAAGAAAGUAGAUAAAGUAAAUGAAAAAGGGACGAUGCAAGAGGUGGAAGAACAAGAAAAGAAGAAAAGGAAAGUAAGAAAGUAGAUAAAGAAAAUGAAAAAGGGACGAUGGAAGAGGUGGAAGAACAAGAAAAGAAGAAAAGGAAAGUAAGAAAGUAGAUAAAGAAAAUGAAAAAGGGACGAUGGAAGAGGUGGAAGAACAAGAAAAGAAGAAAAGGAAAGUAAGAAAGUAGAUAAAGAAAAUGAAAAAGGGACGAUGGAAGAGGUGGAAGAACAAGAAAAGAAGAAAAGGAAAGUAAGAAAGUAGAUAAAGAAAAUGAAAAAGGGACGAUGGAAGAGGUGGAAGAACAAGAAAAGAAGAAAAGGAAAGUAAGAAAGUAGAUAAAGAAAAUGAAAAAGGGACGAUGGAAGAGGUGGAAGAACAAGAAAAGAAGAAAAGGAAAGUAAGAAAGUAGAUAAAGAAAAUGAAAAAGGGACGAUGGAAGAGGUGGAAGAACAAGAAAAGAAGAAAAGGAAAGUAAGAAAGUAGAUAAAGAAAAUGAAAAAGGGACGAUGGAAGAGGUGGAAGAACAGGAAAAGAAGAAAAAUAAAUUAAGAAAGAAUAAAAAGAAAAUGAGAAAGGAACAACGCAAAAGGUCUUAAGAAAAGAAAAGAAAAAGAAAGUAAAAAAAUAUAUAAAGAAAAUGAGAAGGGAACGAUGCAAGAGGUGUUAGAACAAGAAAAGAAGAAAAAUAUAAGAAAAUACCGAAGGAAAAUUAAAUAGGAGUGUCAGGAAGGAAAGAACCAUGAAAACAAAAAAUAUCUAUUGAACGAGGUGGAAGAAAAGGAGGAAAACGAAGGAAGAAAAUCAUGAAGGAAAAUUGAAAUGGAGUGGCGGAUGAGGUGCAACAGGAAGAAAAGAACCAUGAAAAUAAGGAAAUCUGUAUUGAGAAUGGAAGGAACGAUGGACGAGGUGGAAGAAGAGGAGGAAAACGAAGUAAGAAAAUAAUGAAGGAAAAUUAAAAUGGAGUGGCGGGUGAGGUGUGAGACGGAGAGGAAAAGCAAAAAGAAAAGAAAAAAAAUAAUGGAGGACGAUAAAAGUGCAUGAGAAGUAAUAUGAAGGAAAAAAGUUUGAAAAUAAUGAAGGAAAAUUAAAAUGGAGUGGCGGGUGAGGUGUGAGACGGAGAGGAAAGGCAAAAAGAAAGAAAAAAAUAAUGUUGGACGAUAAUAAGAGUGCAUGAUGAUGAAGUAAAAUUAAGCAAAAAAAAGUAAGAAAAUAAUGAAAGUAAGAUGACGAGAGAGCGAUUAAUGAGGUGUUAGAACAAGGAAAUCAGCAGAGAGAGAGAGAGAGAGAGAGAGAGAGAGAGAGAGAGAGAGAAUAAAGAUGACAAGAGAGCGGUGGAUGCAAAAUAAACAGGAAGAAAAUGAGAAAAAAAAAGAAAGGAAUGAAGUCGAGAGAGCGGUGGACGAACUGUAAGAUGGAAAAAAAAAGCAGAAUUAUAAGAAAACAAUAAUUAAGACAAAAAAAAAAAACGGUGAAUGAAGUGAAAAAUAGAAGAAAAAAGUAAGAAAACAAUGAAUGAAAUGAAGGAUGAGGUGAGCGAGGUCGUGUAAGGAGAGAGAGA
This is a long non-coding RNA of Eriocheir sinensis (Chinese mitten crab), 2284 nucleotides long. RefSeq lists it as uncharacterized. Lineage: Eukaryota; Metazoa; Arthropoda; Malacostraca; Decapoda; Varunidae. The transcript is spliced from 4 exons. The record is from RefSeq and is a predicted model, not a curated record.